Regulatory RNA element from Salinicola sp. MIT1003, 101 nucleotides. It matches the Rfam family "traJ-II RNA". The record is from Rfam. Lineage: Bacteria; Pseudomonadati; Pseudomonadota; Gammaproteobacteria; Oceanospirillales; Halomonadaceae.
UGGCAGGAUGUGCAUUGUAGGCCUACGCCGCAAGCGGCUAGCCAACAAUGCAAUGCGCUUACUCGCCCAACGGGCUCUACGCUGUCCUGCUCUGCGAGGCU